GCUGCGAUGGCUGAGUGGUUAAGGCAUUGGAUUUGAAAUCCAGUGGUGUUUCCCUGCUCAGGUUCGAACCCUGCUCGCAGUG
Non-coding RNA from Pristis pectinata (smalltooth sawfish), 82 nucleotides. The record is from the annotation of a RefSeq genome assembly. Lineage: Eukaryota; Metazoa; Chordata; Chondrichthyes; Rhinopristiformes; Pristidae.